Molecule: ribosomal RNA, 1345 nt
Filed under: uncultured bacterium
Lineage: Bacteria
Description: partial 16S ribosomal RNA
Rfam family: Bacterial small subunit ribosomal RNA
Source: RNAcentral
GACGAACGCUGGCGGCGUGCUUAACACAUGCAAGUCGAACGGAAAGGCCCUGCUUUUGUGGGGUGCUCGAGUGGCGAACGGGUGAGUAACACGUGAGUAACCUGCCCUUGACUUUGGGAUAACUUCAGGAAACUGGGGCUAAUACCGGAUAGGAGCUCCUGCUGCAUGGUGGGGGUUGGAAAGUUUCGGCGGUUGGGGAUGGACUCGCGGCUUAUCAGCUUGUUGGUGGGGUAGUGGCUUACCAAGGCUUUGACGGGUAGCCGGCCUGAGAGGGUGACCGGCCACAUUGGGACUGAGAUACGGCCCAGACUCCUACGGGAGGCAGCAGUGGGGAAUAUUGCACAAUGGGCGGAAGCCUGAUGCAGCAACGCCGCGUGCGGGAUGACGGCCUUCGGGUUGUAAACCGCUUUCGCCUGUGACGAAGCGUGAGUGACGGUAAUGGGUAAAGAAGCACCGGCUAACUACGUGCCAGCAGCCGCGGUGAUACGUAGGGUGCGAGCGUUGUCCGGAUUUAUUGGGCGUAAAGGGCUCGUAGGUGGUUGAUCGCGUCGGAAGUGUAAUCUUGGGGCUUAACCCUGAGCGUGCUUUCGAUACGGGUUGACUUGAGGAAGGUAGGGGAGAAUGGAAUUCUGGUGGAGCGGUGGAAUGCGCAGAUAUCAGGAGGAACACCAGUGGCGAAGGCGGUUCUCUGGGCCUUUCCUGACGCUGAGGAGCGAAAGCGUGGGGAGCGAACAGGCUUAGAUACCCUGGUAGUCCACGCUGUAAACGGUGGGUACUAGGUGUGGGGUCCAUUCCACGGGUUCCGUGCCGUAGCUAACGCUUUAAGUACCCCGCCUGGGGAGUACGGCCGCAAGGCUAAAACUCAAAGGAAUUGACGGGGCCCCGCACAAGCGGCGGAGCAUGCGGAUUAAUUCGAUGCAACGCGUAGAACCUUACCUGGGUUUGACAUGGAUCGGGAGUGCUCAGAGAUGGGUGUGCCUCUUUUGGGGUCGGUUCACAGGUGGUGCAUGGCUGUCGUCAGCUCGUGUCGUGAGAUGUUGGGUUAAGUCCCGCAACGAGCGCAACCCCUGUUCACUGUUGCCAGCACGUUAUGGUGGGGACUCAGUGGAGACCGCCGGGGUCAACUCGGAGGAAGGUGGGGAUGACGUCAAGUCAUCAUGCCCCUUAUGUCCAGGGCUUCACGCAUGCUACAAUGGCUGGUACAGAGAGUGGCGAGCCUGUGAGGGUGAGCGAAUCUCGGAAAGCCGGUCUCAGUUCGGAUUGGGGUCUGCAACUCGACCUCAUGAAGUCGGAGUCGCUAGUAGUCGCAGAUCAGCAACGCUGCGGUGAAUACGUUCCCGGGGCU